This 81-nucleotide non-coding RNA is filed under the name unclassified sequences. The record is from Rfam.
UGAUAGCGUAGAAGCGUGAGGUUGCUGCAUUGAUUGCAGGUGUUCCGUGGAGCGAAUGUCAAGUUAGGAAACUGGCGACAA